This 119-nucleotide ribosomal RNA is filed under the name Lepisosteus oculatus (spotted gar). Lineage: Eukaryota; Metazoa; Chordata; Actinopteri; Semionotiformes; Lepisosteidae. The record is from RNAcentral.
UUGAGCAGCCAUAUCACCCUGCAACUCACAACUGGCAGCCCACUAAAGCUCAGUAGGUGUGAGCCUGGUCCGUACCUGGAUGGGAGACCUCCUGGGAAAAACUAAGGUUGCUGCUGGAA